AAGUCGUAACAAGGUUUCCGUAGGUGAACCUGCGGAAGGAUCAUUACCGAGUUAGGGUAGUCACUCACUGCCCGACCUCCCAACCCUGUGUCUACCACACUUUGUCGUUGCUUCGGCGGACCGGUUGACCAACUGGUCAUGACCGCCGGGGGCUGGUUCUGCCCCCCCUGGAGAGCGUCCGCCGAUGGCCCAACCACAAAACUCUUGUACCGAAACGUGUCGUCUGAAUUAUGUUUGAGAAAUCAAAAACAAAACUUUCAACAACGGAUCUCUUGGUUCUG
Molecule: unclassified non-coding RNA, 281 nt
Filed under: fungal sp.
Lineage: Eukaryota; Fungi
Also listed under: 1 other name
Description: partial internal transcribed spacer region
Rfam family: Eukaryotic small subunit ribosomal RNA (bases 1-46)
Source: RNAcentral